UCCUACGGGAGGCAGCAGUGGGGAAUCUUGCACAAUGGAGGAAACUCUGAUGCAGCGAUGCCGCGUGAGUGAAGAAGGCCCUUGGGUUGUAAAGCUCUUUCGUCGGGGAAGAAAAUGACUGUACCCGAAUAAGAAGGUCCGGCUAACUUCGUGCCAGCAGCCGCGGUAAUACGAAGGGACCUAGCGUAGUUCGGAAUUACUGGGCUUAAAGAGUUCGUAGGUGGUUAAAAAAGUUGAUGGUGAAAUCCCAAGGCUCAACCUUGGAACUGCCAUCAAAACUUUUUAGCUAGAGUAUGAUAGAGGAAAGCGGGAUUUCUAGUGUAGAGGUGAAAUUCGUAGAUAUUAGAAAGAACACCAAAAGCGAAGGCAGCUUUCUGGAUCAUUACUGACACUGAGGAACGAAAGCAUGGGUAGCGAAGAGGAUUAGAUACCCUCGUAGUCCAUGCCGUAAACGAUGUGUGCUAGACGUUGGAAACUUAGUUUUCAGUGUCGCAGCGAAAGCAUUAAGCACACCGCCUGGGGAGUACGACCGCAAGGUUAAAACUCAAAUGAAUUGACGG
This 560-nucleotide ribosomal RNA is filed under the name uncultured bacterium. RNAcentral's name for it is "bacterial SSU rRNA". It matches the Rfam family "Bacterial small subunit ribosomal RNA", at positions 337 to 916 of the family's 1533-position model. The record is from RNAcentral.